ACAUGAAGCCGGAAUCGCUAGUAAUCGCGAAUCAGAAUGUCGCGGUGAAUACGUUCCCGGGUCUUGUACACACCGCCCGUCACACCAUGGGAGUUGGAAAUGCCCGAAGUCAGUGACCCAACCGAAAGGAGGGAGCUGCCGAAGGCAGGUUCGAUAACUGGGGUGAAGUCGUAACAAGGUACC
Molecule: ribosomal RNA, 183 nt
Filed under: uncultured bacterium
Lineage: Bacteria
Description: partial 16S ribosomal RNA
Rfam family: Bacterial small subunit ribosomal RNA
Source: RNAcentral